UUGUUAUUCUCUCCGUCCGAAAAAGCAUGUCCCAGACUUGUCUCUUAAAUGGAUGUAUCUAGCACUAACUUGGUGCUAGAUAUAUCCAUUAGAGGGACAAGUUUUUCCGGACGGAGGGAGUAUUAU
Non-coding RNA from Triticum aestivum (bread wheat), 126 nucleotides. Lineage: Eukaryota; Viridiplantae; Streptophyta; Magnoliopsida; Poales; Poaceae. The record is from Rfam.